CAGGUUAAGGGUAGAUAUGGAGUUAGGAGGCAGGAGCAGGUAAAGGGUAGAUAUGUAGUUAGAAGGCAGGUUAAGGGUAGAUAUGGAGUUAGGAGGCAGGAGCAGGUGAAGGGUAGAUAUGGAGGCAGGAGCAGAUAAAGGGUAGAUAUGGAGACAGGAGCAGAUAAAGGGUAGAUAUGGAGGCAGGAGCAGAUAAAGGGUAGAUAUGGAGGCAGGAGCAGGUAAAGGGUAGAUAUGGAGGCAGGAGCAGGUUAAGGGUAGAUAUGGAGUUAGGAGGCAGGAGCAGGUAAAGGGUAGAUAUGGAGGUAGGAGCAGGUUUAGGGUAGAUAUGGAGGCAGGAGGCAGGUUUAGGGUAGAUAUGUAGUUAGGAGGCAGGUUACGGGUAGACAUGGAGUUAGGAGGCAGGAGCAGGUAAAGGGUAGAUAUGGAGGCAGGAGCAGGUAAAGGGUAGAUAUGGAGGCAGGAGCAGGUAAAGGGUAGAUAUGGAGUUAGGAGGCAGGAGCAGGUAAAGGGUAGAUAUGUAGUUAGAAGGCAGGUUAAGGGUAGAUAUGGAGUUAGGAGACAGGAGCAGGUAAAGGGUAGAUAUGAAGGCAGGAGCAGGUAAAGGGUAGAUAUGGAGGCAGGAGCAGGUAAAGGGUAGAUAUGGAGGCAGGAGCAGGUUAAGGGUAGAAAUGGAGUUUUGAGGCAGGUUAAGGGUAGAUAUGGAGUUAGGAGGCAGGAGCAGGUAAAGGGUAGAUAUGGAGGUAGGAGCAGGUAAAGGGUAGAUAUGGAGGCAGGAGGCAGGUUAAGGGUAGAUAUGUAGUUAGGAGGCAGGAGCAGGUAAAGGGUAGAUAUGGAGGCAGGAGCAGGUAAAGGGUAGAUAUGGAGGCAGGAGCAUGUAAAGCGUAGAUAUGGAGUUAGGAGGCAGGAGCAGGCAAAGGGUAGAUAUGUAGUUUGGAGGCAGGUUAAGGGUAGAUAUGGAGUUAGGAGACAGGAGCAGGUAAAGGGUAGAUAUGGAGGCAGGAGCAGGUUAAAGGUAGAUAUGGAGUUAGGAGGCAGGUUAAGGGUAGAUAUGGAGUUAGGAGGCAGAUUAAGGGUAGAUAUGGAGUUAGGAGGCUGGUUAUUAAGGGUAGAUAUGGAGUUAGGAGGCAGGUUUAGGGUAGAUGUGGAGGCAGGAGCAGGUAAAGGGUAGAUAUGGAGGCAGGAGCAUGUAAAGGGUAGGUAUGGAGGCAGGAGCAGGUAAAGGGUAGAUAUGGAGGCAGGAGCAUGUAAAGGGUAGAUAUGGAGUUAGGAGGCAGGAGCAGGUAAAGGGUAGAUAUGUAGUUUGGAGGCAGGUUAAGGGUAGAUAUGGAGUUAAGAGACAGGAGCAGGUUAAGGGUAGAUAUGGAGGCAGGAGCAGGUUAAGGGUAGAAAUGGAGUUAGGAGGCAGGUUAAGGGUAGAUAUGGAGGCAGGAGCAGGUUAAAGGUAGAUAUGGAGUUAGGAGGCAGGUUAAGGGUAGAUAUGGAGUUAGGAGGCAGAUUAAGGGUAGAUAUGGAGUUAGGAGGCUGGUUAUUAAGGGUAGAUAUGGAGUUAGGAGGCAGGUUUAGGGUAGAUAUGGAGGCAGGAGCAGGUAAAGGGUAGAUAUGGAGUUAGGAGGCAGGAGCAGGUAAAGGGUAGAUAUGGAGUUAGGAGGCAGGUUAAGGGUAGAUAUGGAGUUAGGAGACAGGAGCAGGUAAAGGGUAGAUAUGGAGGCAGGAGCAGGUAAAGGGUAGAUAUGGAGUUAGGAGGCAGGUUAUUAUGGGUAGAUAUGGAGUUAGGAGGCAGGUUGUUAAGGGUAGAUAUAGAGUUAGGAGGCAGGUUUAGGGUAGAUAUGGAGUUAGGAGGCAGGUAAAGGGUAGAUAUGGAGUUAGGAGGCAGGUUAUUAUGGGUAGAUAUGGAGUUAGGAGGCAGGUUGAUAAGGGUAGAUAUAGAGUUAGGAGGCAGGUUUAGGGUAGAUAUGGAGUUAGGAGGCAGGUUAUUAUGGGUAGAUAUAGAGUUAGGAGGCAGGUUUAGGGUAGAUAUGGAGUUAGGAGGCAGGUUAUUAUGGGUAGAUAUGGAGUUAGGAGGCAGGUUGAUAAGGGUAGAUAUAGAGUUAGGAGGCAGGUUUAGGGUAGAUAUGGAGUUAGGAGGCUGUUUUUUUUAUUUUACCUUAAUUUAACUAGGC
This 2162-nucleotide long non-coding RNA is filed under the name Salmo salar (Atlantic salmon). RNAcentral's name for it is "lncRNA (ENSSSAG00000107182.1)". The record is from RNAcentral. Lineage: Eukaryota; Metazoa; Chordata; Actinopteri; Salmoniformes; Salmonidae.